Molecule: ribosomal RNA, 293 nt
Filed under: uncultured bacterium
Lineage: Bacteria
Description: partial 16S ribosomal RNA
Rfam family: Bacterial small subunit ribosomal RNA
Source: RNAcentral
CUAUCCUACGGGGGGCAGCAGUGGGGGAUAUUGCACAAUGGGGGAAACCCUGAUGCAGCGACGCCGCGUGAGCGAUGAAGGAUUUCGGUAUGUAAAGCUCUAUCAGCAGGGAAGAAAAUGACGGUACCUGACUAAGAAGCCCCGGCUAACUACGUGCCAGCAGCCGCGGUAAUACGUAGGGGGCAAGCGUUAUCCGGAUUUACUGGGUGUAAAGGGAGCGUAGACGGCAGGGCAGGUCUGAAGUGAAAGGCAGGGGCUCAACCCUUGGACUGCUUUGGAAAGUGUGCUGCUGG